UCGAAGGAUAAUUAUGUAAAUUUACUUUUUAAUAAAAUAAUGCCCUGCUUCUUCUACAAUCUUCCACACCGUUCCAUUUUCUCAGUAGGCACCGAUCAGUCGAACACCGUCCAGGAAUGCGUCUCCGAAUUCAUUAGCUUCGUCACCAGCGAGGCCAGCGAUAAGUGCCAGAAGGAGAAGCGAAAGACCAUCAACAGCAACGAUUUGUUGUGGGCGAUGGCCACGUUAGGGUUUGAGGACUAUAUCUGCAUAUAAUUAGUAUAUAGGAUCUUUUUUUUUUUAUCGAAAGUUUUUUUUUCACCUUUUGGUUUAGGCUUCUCUAAGAUAUCGAAGCUAUAUUUAAUGAUUUCAUGUUUUAUUUAAUUGUGUUACAUCUUAAUUUGAUGGUGUUUACAGAAGGAUACAUGUAGAUGUAGCAAUUGUUUUGUAAGAGCCAAAGAAAAUGUACAUCGGCUUGGGUUAGCAGUUGCUAUUUCAUCCCACAGAUGGAGACGCUAUUGAUAUUGAGUAAUCUUCAAAGAAAGUCACCUCUUCAGAGAAGCAAUAUGGCAGCAUUCGUUAAGCACUUUCCAAGGUACGGACUUCACCAAUCCUAGGUUUUAGUUUGUUUCUAAUUUAUUGAGUUUUUAGGGGCAUAUUAUGUAAUUAAAGGGGAAGGAGGGGUCCAAUUUGGUUUCGAAAUCUUGAAUCUGAUCAAAUGAAAGAAUCAAAAUUCAAAGAUAAUAUGCCACCAAUCAUAGGACUCUGACUUCCAACUCUGCUGCUGCACUGAAGGAUCAUACUUUUCUUCAUACAUUGGAAACAUUUUUUGUUUUUUUUGGUUUUUUUUACUGAUAUUAGUAGCUUUUUAGGGUUGAACUAUUUGAUUUCACAGAUUCAUUACAGACACAUUACAUAGUUACAUUUUAAAUUCGUAUUUCAUAACUUGGUUGCUUGAUUCUAAUGUCGAUUCGUUACAACAGAAGUGAACUUUUUCUACUUUAAGCAGGAAUUUUUGCUUUUGUUUUUAUUGUUGUUGCCUUGAUUGUGGUUAUCUGACGGAUUAAUACUCCAUCAUAUAUUGAGCAAUAUCGUGCGGCUCAAAGAAUUUCGUUAUGUGUUUACGCGUAUUUUGUACUCUGAAUAAUUGUAAUCAAAUUCCAUUGCUCCUAAGCUAAGGUCAGAAUUUGUAGCAUAUAAGGGAAGGUUAGCAGAUACUUACCAAUUAUCCAAAGCUGGAUAUUAAGGUCUUUAACAUUAAUAUCUUUUUGUAUGUGUAGCAUCUGCUUGGAAAAGGUUUCAACUUUAUUUUUUAUUUGUUGGAUUGAUCAAUUGAUGUAUUUUAUGAAAGUUGAUCUGCAAGAUGUUAAGAUGAUUUCUUUGUUUAUGUAUACUGUUUAAUUAUAUCAAUGGAAAUUGGUGCUGCCAUUGUGGCAGUAGA
This is a long non-coding RNA of Malus domestica (apple), 1420 nucleotides long. RefSeq lists it as uncharacterized. The record is from RefSeq and is a predicted model, not a curated record. Lineage: Eukaryota; Viridiplantae; Streptophyta; Magnoliopsida; Rosales; Rosaceae.